Molecule: long non-coding RNA, 608 nt
Organism: Lampris incognitus (smalleye Pacific opah)
Lineage: Eukaryota; Metazoa; Chordata; Actinopteri; Lampriformes; Lampridae
Exons: 3
Source: RefSeq, a predicted model, not a curated record
UCCACAGGGACCAAUUGCAAUUAGGAUGGCAAAACUGGCAAUCAACCAAGGAAUAGAGGUUGAUUUGUCUACAGGAAUGGCGAUUGAAGAGGCAUGCUAUGCCCAGGUGAUACCAACAAAGGACAGGCUGGAGGGUCUUGCUGCAUUCAAGGAGAAGAGGCCGCCUUGUUUCAAGGGGGAGUAACGGCUUUUCCAACGGACCCUAUCAGAAAAUACUGCCUCAACCUCUCUUACUGUUGCUUCUUGUUCUGUUAUGGGUUGGAAGUAUACAUGCCAAAACACGACGUGUUCAGCGUAAUACCCUUGAAAUGCACGUGUCAAACCAAUAACUGGGCAUAUCUUGGCUCUUAAACCGGCCAGGGAUUUAAAAAGAAUCGUUGGUGAUUAUUGGCAAGUGUCUGAUCUUAACAUCAUGUGGCCAUGACAGCCACUACAUGCCGCCAGUUUUACUAAUCAAAAGCACAUUUCACCAGUUUAUUUGUUCAGAAAUCUUUAUGAAGUCCCAAAACUUUAUGAUGUUGAAUAACCAUGUCAAUAAAGAGGUGGAAAGUGAAAGUGCUAAAAGUGGGUGGUAUAAAACAUGUAUUCGGAAUAAAAGAAAAUAUUAA